CAACGAGUCGCAAGACCGCGAGGUUUAGCAAAUCUCUUAAAGCCGUUCUCAGUUCGGAUUGUAGGCUGCAACUCGCCUACAUGAAGUCGGAAUCGCUAGUAAUCGCGGAUCAGCAUGCCGCGGUGAAUACGUUCCCGGGCCUUGUACACACCGCCCGUCACACCAUGAGAGUUUGUAACACCCAAAGCCGGUGGGGUAACCUUUUGGAGCCAGCCGUCUAAGGUGGGACAGAUGAUUAGGGUGAAGUCGUAACAAGGUACC
Molecule: ribosomal RNA, 261 nt
Filed under: uncultured bacterium
Lineage: Bacteria
Description: partial 16S ribosomal RNA
Rfam family: Bacterial small subunit ribosomal RNA
Source: RNAcentral